AAAGUACUCCCUCCGUCCCAAAAUUCUUGUCUUAGAUUUGUCUAGAUACGAAUGUAUCAAGUCACAUUUUAGUAUUAGAUACAUCCGUAUCUAGACAAAUCUAAGACAAGAAAUUUGGGAUAGAGGGAGUAGUUG
This is a non-coding RNA of Triticum aestivum (bread wheat), 135 nucleotides long. The record is from Rfam. Lineage: Eukaryota; Viridiplantae; Streptophyta; Magnoliopsida; Poales; Poaceae.